Molecule: long non-coding RNA, 3074 nt
Organism: Limulus polyphemus (Atlantic horseshoe crab)
Lineage: Eukaryota; Metazoa; Arthropoda; Merostomata; Xiphosura; Limulidae
Exons: 4
Source: RefSeq, a predicted model, not a curated record
UGCUUUAUUUGUAUUAAGAGACUUAGCUCUUCUGGAAGCUGAAAAAUUCAGAUAUUUAGUACCAAAACCAUCUUAUUAUUCUCUACACAGAAGAGAAGGAGAUGGAGAGUUUCUCUCUAUUUUGUCAAAUGAAAUUGGAGAUGAGGGGGUCCUUUUGUUCCUAACAGCAGGUGAAGACAAAGGACCAGGGCAUAUAUUGUUGACUGGACCACCUGAUACUGUAGCUGCUGUAGGACCACAGGUAUGUGACUUGCUUCAAGGGAAAGGAUCAGGAAAAAAUGGAAGAUUUCAGGCCAAGGUGGCUUCUUUUACAAAGAGAUCAAAAGCAGAAGAGAUCAUUAAGCAAGCUCUAAGAAUAAAUAACUGAAAAUGAUGAACAGUGAUUUUCACAGGGGGUGUAGAUGUAUAAUUUCUAUAUAUGUAUACAAAUGAAAAGAAGAUAGAAUUUUUGCAUUAAAGUAUUAUAGUAUUUUUUGCACGAACCUAAUCUUUUGACUUAUAACUAAGCUUUCUUCUUUUAUCCACAAUAAAUAACCAAAAUAUUUGGAAUUACACGUGUCAUCAUAAAAGUAACUUAAUUUUUAAUCAUAAUUUUUCAUGUAAUAGAUAGAUUUAAUUCUUGAAAAACAGUAACUCAGCUCAGCAUAUUUAUUAGUUUGGAAUAAUAGCUGUCCUAUUUAAAUUUGUUUCUAAACUUGUGGUUCAGUUGAACUGUGAAAAUGCUUAAAAAAUAAGUACUUUUUGUCUCUAAGCAGACUGGUUGUGAAGAUGGAAUUAAGCAACUUACCUGUACAGUAUAUGUGUACUUGACAGUUAAACAAAAACUAGAACUCUUAGAUAAUUUCUGUUCAAGAAUAUGUAUAAACCUAAAAUGUGUUAUUUAAAAAUAAAUGUCACAGUUAUUAAAUUUUUAAGUAUUAUCUUAAAAAAGCUAUUAUUUAACAUGGUAACUUGCACUAAGUAUUUCAGCAUUUCAGAGUUCAAUCAUGCUCCAGGGAAUUAGUAAAACAGGUGUCUUGCUAAAGACUACUACAUAAAUUAAACAAGAACCCUUAUGUUAGAAUAAAAACAAUUUGUACAAUCUACAAGAAUUAAAGUGCCUCUUUUUGACCAGUAUAGUACUACUGAAACAUUAAUUUAACACAUGAUCUCUUCCCCAAACAAAGAUGUCUCAGUGGCAGAGAUUGGAUGUAAAAAAUCCAGGAUCUAGUUGGUUUUGGUGAAACUUAUAAAGAUUGUAGCAUAUGGUAUUGUAUGAAAAUUAUGAUCUCAAGUUUCAAAAUUGAUAGAAAUUAACUGAGUUAUGAUGGGUCACAUCAGCAGCAGAAACACCAUAGGUAAAGAAAGUACUUCUUGGUGGGUAACUAAAGGGUUGGCUUUCUUCUUCUUUUUCCUUUGUUGCAUCUGUUUUUCAUACCUAGAGCCUAAUAGAUUUUUGGCAAGUAGCUCCAGGUCCCAUUGACCUUGAAUGUAACUUUGCUACUCUUUGGCAUGUGAUAAUCAAUCACAUUAGUCCAUCAAUUACCUCCAUGUACAAGGUUCUGAGAUGUUUGACUUACAACCUGUGCAGCUUCUAUGGGUGCAGGCUUGAUGGACUAUUUGAUGGCUGUUGUUCAUGCAAAUCUAUCUAUCAAACUUCAAGAUGCUGUGUUAGCUCUUAGAAAUUGUUUUGAUGCUAAUAGAACAGUAGUUAUAAUAGUAGUACCUUUCUGCCAGAACAGAAGAUGAAGAAUAAGGUCUUCAAUCUCAAAUAGGAAAUGAAGAAAGGUCACAUAAUUUGAUUUAAGAAUAUAGAAAAAAAGAGAUGAUCAAUUCAUGUGUGUGACUGUUGCUGGUAAAAUGGAGAAACCACUCAAAAUUCCUCUUUCUGUGACUGCUUAUAUCUCUUUACUGAAAUAGAUUACCAUCAUAUUAAUUGUAUAUUAGGAUAAAGCAGAUUCUGGACUUCUCAUUGGUGUAUAUGAUGUCUCCAAGAAAUAAUUACCAGAAUUUCCUGUUCUUUGCCCUGCCACUCAGAAACACUAGCUCAUCUCUGAUUGAGGGAAAGAUCCUGAGUUGAUAAUAUUCAAAAGUAAAUUCUGUAUUUACCUUUUUGAUUUUGGAGAUGAAUCACUAUGAGAACAGACUGAACAUAGCCUAGUGAUUAUUGUUACAGGCUGCAGUUUAAAAGAUCUUAACUUUUGAGCUGUGAUGUGCUGUUGAAAUAUGCUGUGGUUGUGUCAUAUCUGUAAUCAUCAGUUCUGCUAUUUGGCUAAGAGUAUCCAUUUAGAUGGUAUGUACUUCUGACCAGAAGUUCUAACUCAGGGAUAUCUUUACUGAACCUUGGAGUCUCUGAUCUGACCUUUAGCCUACGUGUCACAGUUAGGUUAAAAAUACAAUCCUCAAAGGCAGAGUAAGAUAUAAUGACUCACAUUUUAAAUGACUUUUAACCCUAGAAAUAUCUGUUGGAUCCAUCUGGAACUCAUUGAAUUUUAAAACAGUAUUUAUAAACUAUUUACAUGCCAAGUUUUUGUGGGUACAGGACUUUGUGUAUGAUAGGGUCUCUAAACGCAUACAAGUCAUAGUUUUUGUUUUUUUAAGAUAUAAUCAAUAUUGUAGUUAGUCUUGCAAAUUAUUACUGCAUUUUACAUAAAUAAUGAGUAGUUUCACAUAAAAAUGUUUAUCAGUUCCUUACACUGAGUCAAAGUGAAAAUAUAAAAGUACUUAAUGUAAUGCAAUAUGUAAACACUACUAAUAAUGAACAAUAUAAAAACAAAUCAGUAACUUGACGAUUUAUAUUUAUUUGUGUUUUGAUUGUAACCGAUGUUGUGUGUGUUAUUGUUUUUAGUACAGAUAAAGUUCAUUGAAGUUUUCCCCCUAAAUAUAGUUUUCACAAGUGUUGCUGGGUUCAGAUCCUUUUAGAAUAAUUUGUUAAUAGGAAAAUAGUUGAAUAAAAUUUAAUCUUAGAUAGGUUAAACAACUAACACCAAAAAUAAAGGAUAAUAUAUUGCCUAAUAAAGAAUAUUAUAAAAUAAAACCAUUUGGUUCUCAUUCUGAUAUUAUGUAUGAAGUUAAUAAAGAUGGAUGUCCAGUUA